Molecule: ribosomal RNA, 372 nt
Filed under: uncultured bacterium
Lineage: Bacteria
Description: bacterial SSU rRNA
Rfam family: Bacterial small subunit ribosomal RNA
Source: RNAcentral
UACGAAGGAUCCAAGCGUUGUCCGGAUUUACUGGGUUUAAAGGGUGCGUAGGCGGACUUUUAAGUCAGUGGUGAAAGCCUGUAGCUUAACUAUAGAAUUGCCAUUGAAACUGAAAGUCUCGAGUGUGGUUGAGGUAACUGGAAUAUAUCAUGUAGCGGUGAAAUGCUUAGAUAUGAUAUAGAACACCAAUUGCGAAGGCAGGUUACUGAGCCAUUACUGACGCUGAGGCACGAAAGCGUGGGGAUCAAACAGGAUUAGAUACCCUGGUAGUCCACGCCGUAAACGUUGCAUACUCGAUCUUAGCGAUACACAGUUAGGAUCCAAGCGAAAGCGUUAAGUAUGCCACCUGGGAAGUACGAUCGCAAGAUUGAA